Molecule: non-coding RNA, 745 nt
Organism: Neolamprologus brichardi
Lineage: Eukaryota; Metazoa; Chordata; Actinopteri; Cichliformes; Cichlidae
Source: RefSeq, a predicted model, not a curated record
AAUCCCAUGUCUGGAGCCUUAGCCGGGGGAGUUGCAGGAAUGGGAAUGGGGCUAGUUGGGCACAAAGCAAACAAAAAGAUGCACAAGAAGAUGAAAAAGGCGCACAAACAUAAGCACUACAAACAUGGCAAGUCCUCCAGCAGCAGCAGCAGCAGCGACUCAGACUGAGGCGACUGGUUUGAAGCAUGGCUUUCGCAAAAAAGCUGUGUAACAACAGCACAGCGCAACUAUUAACUACUAACAGUUAACUGUCAAUGCAUUAAAGCAGUUCUUAUAGCCUUUUGCAGAUUUUUGCUGAGUCGCAGCAAAUCUCACAUGUUCAGUAUAAAUGUAUGACACUAGAAAUGCAUACAGCAGCUCUUUUUGUGUGUGUGUUACUGUCACAACUUUAAUCGGCACUGGGAUUCCACCUCAUGUUGAAUUUUACUUUGGUUUGUGGUUUUUAGGUGAAAUGUUGCAAUUUAUCUACUGUUACUAUUCUCUAAUAUUACAAUGACAAACAUGUAGAUAACUGAAAAAGAGACUGCAGCACUGUGCAGAUGAUUUUCUUAAUGUAAUUAAGUUAAAAGGGAUAUAGAAAAUAUAGUUAAUUAAGUAAAGGUAUACUGUCUAUAAUUGUUUUUUGUUUUUUAAUUUUAUUUUAUGAUCACUACUGUGCAUGGCUGCAGAAAAAAACUGUUGCUUGUUAAUAUUGUUCAUUUUAAAGUUAAAUAAAUUGUAUUAAUAAAUGGAGUUACAUAAAAAA